AUGUUGGGGACACUCCUCACUCUUUUCAGCACUGUGUCAUGUGUCAGUGGUGUGACUGUGGUUACACAGAAGCCUCCUGUUCUCACAGUGACUAAAGGACAGACAGUCACUAUGGACUGUAAUCUGGGGACUGUUACUAAUUAUCAUGCAGCGUGGUAUAAACAGGUUCCAGGAUCAGUAACUCAGCAUGUGAUAAGAUUUCGUCAUGGCUGGGGCUCUCCUUAUUAUGGCUCUGGCUUCUCCUCUUCUAAAUUCACAUCAAAGCACUCAUCCCAAUCAGAUUACAGUCUGAUCAUUAAUAAUGUGGAGGUGGGAGACUCUGCAGUGUAUUACUGUAACACCUGGGACGGCUCUGCUCAGGAGUGGGUAUCACAGUGA
This is a non-coding RNA of Chanos chanos (milkfish), 378 nucleotides long. The record is from the annotation of a RefSeq genome assembly. NCBI's taxonomy places the organism in Eukaryota, Metazoa, Chordata, Actinopteri, Gonorynchiformes, Chanidae.